Molecule: ribosomal RNA, 844 nt
Filed under: Priestia megaterium
Lineage: Bacteria; Bacillati; Bacillota; Bacilli; Caryophanales; Bacillaceae
Description: bacterial SSU rRNA
Rfam family: Bacterial small subunit ribosomal RNA
Source: RNAcentral
GCGGCGGACGGGUGACUAACACGUGGGCAACCUGCCUGUAAGACUGGGAUAACUUCGGGAAACCGAAGCUAAUACCGGAUAGGAUCUCGUCCUUCAUCGGAGAUGAUUGAAAGAUGGUAUCGGCUAUCACUUACAGAUGGGCCCGCGGUGCAAUAGCUAGUUGGUGAGGUAACGGCUCACCAAGGCAACGAUGCAUAGCCGACCUGAGAGGGUGAUCGGCCACACUGGGACUGAGACACGGCCCUUACACCUACGGGAGGCAGCAGUAGGGAAUCUUCCGCAAUGGACGAAAGUCUGACGGAGCAACGCCGCGUGAGUGAUGAAGGCUUGCGGGUCGUAAAACUCUGUUGUUAGGGAAUAACAAGUACGAGAGUAACUGCUCGUGCCUCGACGGUACCUAACCAGAAAGCCACGGCUAACUACGUGCCAGAAGCCGCGGUAAUACGUAGGUGGGGAAGCGUUAUCCGGAAAUAUUCGCCUAUAGCGCGGGCAGGCGGUUUCAUAAGUCUGAUGUGAAAGCCCACGGCUCAACGGUGGAGAGUCAUUGGAAACUGUGGAACUUGAGUGCAGCCAGAGAAUGCCGAAUUCCACGUGUAGCGGUGAAAUGCGUAGAGAUGUGGCGGAACUCGAGUGGCGCAGGCGGCUAAUUGGUCUGUAACUGACGCUGAGGCGCGAUAGCGUGGGGAGCAAACAGGAUUAGAUACCCUGGUAGUCCACGCCGUAAACGAUGAGUGCUAAGUGUUAGAGGGUUUCCGCCCUUUAGUGCUGCAGCUAACGCAUUAAGCACUCCGCCUGGGGAGUACGGUCGCAAGACUGAAACUCAAAGGAAUUGACGGGGGCCCGC